GAGGGUAUAGCUCAGUGGCAGAGCAUGUGCUUAGCAUGCACGAGGUCCUGGGUUCAAUCUUUAGUACUUCUA
Molecule: transfer RNA, 72 nt
Filed under: Camelus bactrianus (Bactrian camel)
Lineage: Eukaryota; Metazoa; Chordata; Mammalia; Artiodactyla; Camelidae
Also listed under: 1 other name
Rfam family: tRNA
About the family: Transfer RNA (tRNA) molecules are approximately 80 nucleotides in length. Their secondary structure includes four short double-helical elements and three loops (D, anti-codon, and T loops).
Source: Rfam by way of RNAcentral